CAUAGCGACUAUCGUGGCAUAUCAAUAAGCGGAGGAAAAGAAACUAACAAGGAUUCCCUUAGUAACGGCGAGUGAAGCGGGAAGAGCUCAAAUUUGAAAUCUUCAAGGUUCUACCUUGACGAAUUGUAGUUUAUAGAAGUGUUUUCUGUUAGUGGAGUGGCAAAAGUUCUUUGGAAUAGGACAUCAUAGAGGGUGAGAAUCCCGUAUUUGACCAUUUCUUCCAGCUGUGUGAUACACUUUCAAAGAGUCGGAUUGUUUGGGAAUGCAGUCCAAAAUGGGUGGUAAGUUUCAUCUAAAGCUAAAUAUUGGCGAGAGACCGAUAGCGAACAAGUACCGUGAGGGAAAGAUGAAAAGAACUUUGAAAAGAGAGUUAAACAGUACGUGAAAUUGUCAAAAGGGAAGCGUUUGACACCAGUGUUGUUUUCUCGAAAAUCAAUUAACGAAUGUUUGAUUUUGGAGUUAUGACUUCAUCAGCUUGCUGCAUCUCUUUAUUAUCUUUCUUAAUGCACUUUUCGUUUAACAAGUCAACAUCAGUUUCUUUUGUUGUAAAAGGGUCAUGAGGAAGGUGGCUUUCUUUUCGGAGAAAGUGUUUAUAGCCUUUGAUCUCUGCAACCGGAGAGACUGAGGUCCGCAGCGUAGACUCUUCGGGGUUAAAUACAUUUGUGCUAAGCUAUAGCUUUUUAUAGACAACUUGUUGACUAUAUUUAGUCUUGUAGCUUACUCGCUUAUGCUAUUCUACCUACGCUUAGGAUGUUGAUAGUCACAGCGUGUAC
Molecule: ribosomal RNA, 773 nt
Filed under: uncultured Neocallimastigales
Lineage: Eukaryota; Fungi; Neocallimastigomycota; Neocallimastigomycetes; Neocallimastigales
Description: partial large subunit ribosomal RNA
Rfam family: Eukaryotic large subunit ribosomal RNA
Source: RNAcentral